Long non-coding RNA from Sebastes umbrosus (honeycomb rockfish), 99 nucleotides. RefSeq lists it as uncharacterized. The transcript has 3 exons. NCBI's taxonomy places the organism in Eukaryota, Metazoa, Chordata, Actinopteri, Perciformes, Sebastidae. The record is from RefSeq and is a predicted model, not a curated record.
CAGGCAGAGGUAUUUUUACAUAUACAAAGAGAAAAAGCACUAAAGCAUAAUAGGUCCUCUUUACCUAUCCUAAAAAUACCUCUGUGUGGGCCCAUUUAG